AUUGAACGCUGGCGGCAUGCCUUACACAUGCAAGUCGAACGGUAACAGGUCUUCGGAUGCUGACGAGUGGCGAACGGGUGAGUAAUACAUCGGAACGUGCCCGAUCGUGGGGGAUAACGAGGCGAAAGCUUUGCUAAUACCGCAUACGAUCUACGGAUGAAAGCAGGGGACCGCAAGGCCUUGCGCGGACGGAGCGGCCGAUGGCAGAUUAGGUAGUUGGUGGGAUAAAAGCUUACCAAGCCGACGAUCUGUAGCUGGUCUGAGAGGAUGAUCAGCCACACUGGGACUGAGACACGGCCCAGACUCCUACGGGAGGCAGCAGUGGGAAUUUUGGACAAUGGGCGCAAGCCUGAUCCAGCCAUGCCGCGUGCAGGAUGAAGGCC
This 383-nucleotide ribosomal RNA is filed under the name uncultured bacterium. RNAcentral describes it as "bacterial SSU rRNA". It matches the Rfam family "Bacterial small subunit ribosomal RNA", at positions 30 to 416 of the family's 1533-position model. The record is from RNAcentral.